This 825-nucleotide long non-coding RNA is filed under the name Lupinus mutabilis. RNAcentral's name for it is "partial ncRNA". Lineage: Eukaryota; Viridiplantae; Streptophyta; Magnoliopsida; Fabales; Fabaceae. The record is from RNAcentral.
AAACUCUUCAAUAGUUCUAUUUGGUACUUCAAAUCCUCCUUUUACAGUACUCUUCAGUACAUUUUGUUGAUCAUUAUCCUUAGUUUCACUCUUAGGCCUUUCGGUUUUCUCUUGUCUCAGCUUUUCUAUUUUGUUCUUCUCAGCAGUCGUCUUGGCUUCCGCAUGCAUCCUUAUAGGUUCUUCACCAUUCUCCUUCUCCACAAAAUUUUCAAUCUCAUUUCCAUUUCUUACGACUGUUGCUUUAUCGACGUACUCCGUUUCUUGUAUCCUCGAAACAUUCAACCCUUUGCUAUCCUCAAGUGUUGCUUUUGGUUCUUGAUCAACAUUCUGAACUUCACUCUUAGCUUUCACAAAGUCAUUCCCUUCAAAUAUGUUUUUCGGAAUAGCCUCAACCGAUAUCCUUUUAGGUUCCCUUCCAUCAAUCUUCCCUUCAACAUUUUCAGUUUUUUCCAUUUGUUGUAUUUCAGAUUCUUUAGACUUAUCUUGGCUUAUACCACCAGUGUUGCUAGGAUCAGCUACAUUAUGAACAUGUUCUGAUGUCUUCAUUGCUGUGCCUUUUUGCACCAUCUCUCCAAUGUUCCCAUUGGCAUCAUCAAGCCUCUUGUCAGAUACCAUUUUUCUCUUCUUCCCGAAAAAACUUUCAUCGUCCUCCGUCUUUAUAACCUGAGACUCUUUAGUUUGGCUUGUAUCUCCAUUGUUCUGUGUAAAACCUGUACCUUCAUUUUGCUCCAUUUCUGGUUUCUUCACUGUUUCAUAUGCUACCAUGCUAACAUUUUUUUCCACACUUUCUACCAUUCCAUCCUCAAUCCCCAACUUAGAUUCUUC